Epinephelus fuscoguttatus (brown-marbled grouper) is the source of this 592-nucleotide long non-coding RNA. RefSeq lists it as uncharacterized. The record is from RefSeq and is a predicted model, not a curated record. The transcript has 3 exons. NCBI's taxonomy places the organism in Eukaryota, Metazoa, Chordata, Actinopteri, Perciformes, Serranidae.
AUGGCAGCCAAAAGAAGAAAGGUGCACAUAAGGAGCUAUUUCAGAAGAGUGACAGAAGCAGUGCCAGGCACUAGUGCAGGCAGAGGAGAGGAAAGUGGAGAGGCAGGGACAGGGUCACAGGACUUCCUCAGAGGAGAAUCAUGAGUGCUGGAAAAGCUGCCUCACCUUUCCUCCAUUUCUUCUCACCUUGUUGCAUGAAGCUGCGCCUCACCCGGGAAGCAAAUAAGAUCAGGUGGCAGCAGCAGGAGGCACUGACAAAAAGCUGUCGGAUAGUUUCCAACAGCCUUCAGUCUGUGGAGGAAGUCACAGAAACACUCACAUCCUGUUAGAUCCGAUUCCAAUUUAUUCAAAUGUUAUCAGACCCAUACAUCAGGUUUUUUUUUCAGUUCAGUUUUUCUAUUUAUUUCUCUGUUUUAAUUGUAACAGAGUAGCCUAUUAAAAUGCUUGUCAAUCUGUCAAUCUAAAUUGAAAACAUUAAUAGUCAAACACAGAUGAAAGAAAUAAAAGACGAUAGCUUGUUUUUUAGAUCUGUCUGAGUCAGGGCUUCACAUCUGUACAGAUAUUAUUUUAGAAAUCCUCACAUCCCACUUAC